This 581-nucleotide ribosomal RNA is filed under the name Candidatus Poribacteria bacterium. RNAcentral describes it as "partial 23S ribosomal RNA". It matches the Rfam family "Bacterial large subunit ribosomal RNA", at positions 2346 to 2925 of the family's 2925-position model. Lineage: Bacteria; Candidatus Poribacteria. The record is from RNAcentral.
AGAGUGCAAAGGCAGAAGGGAGCUUAACUGCGAGACGGACACGUCAAGCAGAUGCGAAAGCAGGGCUUAGUGAUCUUACGGUGCUGUGUGGAAAGGCCGUAACUCAUUGGAUAAAAGGUACUCCGGGGAUAACAGGCUAGUCGCCCCCAAUAGCUCGUAUAAACGGGGCGGUUCGGCACCUCGAUGUCGGCUCGUCACAUCCUGGGGCUGCAGCAGGUCCCAAGGGUUCGGCUGUCCGCCGAUUAAAGUGGCACGCGAGCUGGGUUUAGAACGUCGUAAGACAGUUCGGUCCCUAUCUGGUAUGGGCGUAGGAUAUUUGAGAGAUGCUGCCCCUAGUAUGAGAAGACCGGGGUGGACGUACCUCUAGUGCACCAGUUGUCACGCCAGUGGCACCGCUGGGUAGCUAUGUGCGGAAUGGAGAAACGCUGAAAGCAUAUAAGCGUGAAACCAACCUCAAGAUAAGAUAUCCCACAACGUUAAGUUGGUAAGGCUCCUUCGAGAUAAGGAGGUUGAUAGGCCAGAUGUGUACACCGUGUGAACGGUUCAGCUAACUGGUACUAAUAAGCCGAGGGCUUGAUAAC